GACGAACGCUGGCGGCGUGCUUAACACAUGCAAGUCGAACGGAAAGGCCCUGCUUUUGUGGUGUGCUCGAGUGGCGAACGGGUGAGUAACACGUGAGUAACCUGCCCUUGACUUUGGGAUAACUUCAGGAAACUGGGGCUAAUACCGGAUAGGAGCUCCUGCUGCAUGGUGGGGGUUGGAAAGUUUCGGCGGUUGGGGAUGGACUCGCGGCUUAUCAGCUUGUUGGUGGGGUAGUGGCUUACCAAGGCUUUGACGGGUAGCCGGCCUGAGAGGGUGACCGGGCACCUGGGGACUGAGAUAGGGCCCAGACGCCUACGGGAGGCAGCAGUGGGGAAUAUUGCACAAUGGGCGGAAGCCUGAUGCAGCAACGCCGCGUGCGGGAUGACGGCCUUCGGGUGGUAAACCGCUUUCGCCUGUGACGAAGCGUGAGUGACGGUAAUGGGUAAAGAAGCACCGGCUAACUACGUG
RNAcentral lists this ribosomal RNA (468 nucleotides) under uncultured bacterium. RNAcentral's name for it is "partial 16S ribosomal RNA". It matches the Rfam family "Bacterial small subunit ribosomal RNA", at positions 28 to 507 of the family's 1533-position model. The record is from RNAcentral.